AACGAACGCUGGCGGCAUGCCUAACACAUGCAAGUCGAACGGGAUCCUAGCUUGCUAGGUGAGAGUGGCGGACGGGUGAGUAACACGUGGGAAUCUGCCUUUUGGUUCGGGAUAACCGCGGGAAACUGCGGCUAAUACCGAAUGCCCUCGUGAGAGGAAAGAUUUAUCGCCAGAAGAGGAGCCCGCGUCCGAUUAGGUAGUUGGUGGGGUAAAAGGCCUACCAAGCCGACGAUCGGUAGCUGGUCUGAGAGGAUGAUCAGCCACACUGGGACUGAGAUACGGCCCAGACUCCUACGGGAGGCAGCAGUGGGGAAUAUUGGACAAUGGGGGCGAACCCCUGAUCCAGCAAUGCCGCGUGAGUGAUGAAGGCCUUAGGGUUGUAAAGCUCUUUUGCCAGGGAAGAUGAUGACUGUACCUGGAGAAUAAGCCCCGGCUAACUUCGUGCCAGCAGCCGCGGUAAU
This 461-nucleotide ribosomal RNA is filed under the name uncultured bacterium. RNAcentral's name for it is "bacterial SSU rRNA". It matches the Rfam family "Bacterial small subunit ribosomal RNA", at positions 29 to 524 of the family's 1533-position model. The record is from RNAcentral.